RNAcentral lists this ribosomal RNA (295 nucleotides) under uncultured bacterium. Its description in RNAcentral is "partial 16S ribosomal RNA". It matches the Rfam family "Bacterial small subunit ribosomal RNA", at positions 344 to 653 of the family's 1533-position model. The record is from RNAcentral.
GGAGGCAGCAGUGGGGAAUAUUGCACAAUGGGCGAAAGCCUGAUGCAGCGACGCCGCGUGAGGGAUGACGGCCUUCGGUUGUAAACCUCUUUCAGUAGGGAAGAAGCGAAAGUGACGGUACCUGCAGAAGAAGCACCGGCUAACUACGUGCCAGCAGCCGCGGUAAUACGUAGGGUGCGAGCGUUAUCCGGAAUUAUUGGGCGUAAAGAGCUCGUAGGCGGUUUGUCGCGUCUGUCGUGAAAGUCCGGAGCUUAACCCCGGAUCUGCGGUGGUACGGGCAGACUAGAGUGCAGUA